RNAcentral lists this ribosomal RNA (460 nucleotides) under uncultured bacterium. Its description in RNAcentral is "partial 16S ribosomal RNA". It matches the Rfam family "Bacterial small subunit ribosomal RNA", at positions 338 to 795 of the family's 1533-position model. The record is from RNAcentral.
CCUACGGGAGGCAGCAGUGAGGAAUAUUGGUCAAUGGCCGGAAGGCUGAACCAGCCAUGCCGCGUGAAGGUCAGUGCCCUUUGGGCGUUAAACUUCUUUUGUGCGGGAGCAAUAAUGGUCACGUGUGGCCAGACGAGAGUACCGUACGAAUAAGCAUCGGCUAACUCCGUGCCAGCAGCCGCGGUAAUACGGGGGGUGCAAGCGUUAUCCGGAUUUAUUGGGUUUAAAGGGUGCGUAGGCUGGGAGGUAAGUCAGCGGGGAAAUGCCCCCGCUCAACGGGGUGAAGUGCCAUUGAUACUGGCUUGCUGGAAUGCGGAUGCCGUGAGAGGAAUGUGUGGUGUAGCGGUGAAAUGCAUAGAUAUCACACAGAACACCGAUUGCGAAGGCAUCUCACGAAUCCGCGAUUGACGCUGAUGCACGAAAGCGUGGGUAUCAAACAGGAUUAGAUACCCUGGUAGUC